AUUUUUUUUUUUUUAACUUGACUAUUAAGUAAUUUAAUUAAUAGUGUAUAAUUUUCUUGCUUACAAGUUAUACAAGUCAGGAAGGACUUCGUCAGUUACUUGGGAUGAAAGUUACAUCUGACUUAUUAAUUAUAUAUUAACUUCCUUAUAUACAGCCAAAAAAUAAACAAACAUUCUUUCUUUUAUUCAAACUAAAACUCUUUUCCCUACGUUACUGCAAAAUAAUCUUCAAGUCACUCCUUUCCACAUACGGUUCUCUCGUCGCUGUUGAGAUUUCUGCAACCGCUUUUUCCCCGUUCUUGAUUUUCCGGCAACUCAACCUGUGCAUUUGCAGAAAAAAUCUAAAUGGAAUCUUGGGAGGACGACAUGGCUGAUAGCUCUGGUGAAUCGGAUAAUGGCAUGAUUAAUAGCUCUGAUGAAUGGAUAGCUCUGAUGAAAUGAAGGAUGAUGACGUGUGAGAUUUUCGAGAUUCCAGAAGGCGACUUUAAGACUGUUGCUUGUCCGUAUGAAUGGGAUGAAUUACAUGCACUACCUGCAGACUACAUUAGAAGAGAGGACUGGAAGAUCAAGGAUGUGGCUAAGAAACAUGUAUUGCCCCUCCUUCCAGCUAAAUAAUUAGUGAAGUUUCGGGCAGUGUCCAAUGAAUGGAAUCAUUGGAUUGUUAGUCCAUUACUAUCAUAUCAGCAAAGUACUUCGUUCCAGAAACUUUCAGGCUACUUCUAUCAAACCUUGGAUGGGAUUUAUCAAUCCCAUCCUAAAUUUUUGUCUCUGGACUGUUAUUCGACUGGAGUCCCUAGUCCUUCCCUUCGUUUCUUGCCUGAAAGUGUCAAAGUUCUAAGUUCUAGCAGCGGGUUGCUACUUUGUCAGGGGCAGGAGAACUAUUAUGUUUGUAAUCCUGUAACCAAAGACUGGAAAACUAUCCCUCCGCAUCAAUAUUAUCAUGGAUCUGAUCCACCGUUGUUCUUGCAUUUGAUCCUCAGGGUAAUAUUGAAUCCUAUUAUCACAUUGUCGCUGCAGUCCCUCUUCUCGGUCAGCCAGUCGUCUUCUUUGAGAUUUACUCUUCUCAAUCAAAUUCUUGGAAGUGCUCCUCUUCAGACUGUCUAGAGUUAGAAGAUACAACUGUUAUAGGUGGGGGACUUUACAUGAAGGGAGUGGCAUACUGGAAUACAACAUCAAAUGAUGUGCUAGCAUUUGAUGUGAAGGUUGAGAUUCUUAAUAGUCCAGGACAACUAAAUCCUCAGCAAAGAUUCAUACCCUACGUAAACAGUCUCGUUACGUUACAUGAUGAGCUGAGGGAUUAGUGCCGCUGAUGAUACUUUCGGUUACUGUCAAGUACACAACCUUUCUUGUGUUUCCUAUUGAAGCAUACACUCUCUCCUAGAUCUGCUGCUGCUUCUUUGGAAUUGAACAACUUUCAUGAUUUUUUGUUUGUUUGACUUGGAUCAUAAAAUGAGUACUUUGAAUAGCUUAGUCGUUGGUAAAUAGACCAUGUUUUGGAUUGCCAUUAUUUCAUUUGCAGUGUAGUAGUUUGAACAUUUACUCCGCCCCUCAUUUAUAAUAUAUUUUGGCGUGAUUGUGAGUUUCAAUUAGUUAUGGUUUUCUGUUAGGUACUUUCUACUACUAUUAUAUCAAAUAAACAAGGAAUUCUCAUCAUGUAUCUGGACGCAAAGAGCCCUGGUUAGCUCUGUAGUAGCAAAUUUGGGUCUCUGUUGACCAAAACAACCAACUUUGUGGCAUUACGCUUAGGCAUGUUG
This is a long non-coding RNA of Capsicum annuum, 1754 nucleotides long. RefSeq lists it as uncharacterized. The record is from RefSeq and is a predicted model, not a curated record. The transcript has 3 exons. Lineage: Eukaryota; Viridiplantae; Streptophyta; Magnoliopsida; Solanales; Solanaceae.